UAUAAGGUAUAAUGGUCGGCGAUAGAUCGAUAAUUUAUGUUAGCACCACCUUCAGAGAAAAAAGAAAAAAGGAAGGAAGAAAAACGGAGGAAGAAAAAAGGAAGAGAAAGGGCGCAUGCGCAUAGAAAGCUUAAAAAAAGAUUAAUAAAAUAAAAUUAAAAAGUAUGGAAAGGAGUAAGCAAGCGGCAGCAACCGACAGAAUAAACUAACCUGACCAGCCGCCACUACGGAGGAAAUCGCCGGGGGACAACUGGGCUAAAACAGAAUCGGAGAAGUGCAAUCCAGGGAAAAGUGAUCCGUGAUCAGCCGCAAUCAGCUGAUCGUCCAUAACCCCCAAGGCAUCAGUGAUGCGCAAUGUCAGCAACAGUGAUGUUCAUUUGGCUCAGCAGUGAUGUAACAAACAAAAAUCUAAGUUACUUCUUAUCAACAGUCGAGUCAAUCUAGCAAUAUCCGUUUAAUCAUCCAUCCAUCCGUCGGAUCUCAGAGACAACAAGAAAUGUGAACUACAAUUUGGAAUGAAAGUUCUCGUAUAUCUCACGCAGUUUAAGUCUAUUUUAUUUCAAUUUUAAAGAUAUUAGCAUUGAUAUUUUUUUAUCUACUGUAAACAUUUCAUCAAGAUCUGAUAAGAAACACCCAUUUGAAGGCAAAAUUGUCAAUUAAACUUUAACCUGUGCAAAAAGAAUUGAAACACAGAAGCGCAAU
Molecule: long non-coding RNA, 702 nt
Organism: Drosophila grimshawi
Lineage: Eukaryota; Metazoa; Arthropoda; Insecta; Diptera; Drosophilidae
Exons: 3
Source: RefSeq, a predicted model, not a curated record